This 1429-nucleotide long non-coding RNA is filed under the name Homo sapiens (human). RNAcentral describes it as "novel transcript". The record is from RNAcentral. Lineage: Eukaryota; Metazoa; Chordata; Mammalia; Primates; Hominidae.
ACCUCCUUGGCUGCUCUGGCCUUUGAGUUAUGCUCUAAGAUUAUCGAUUACUUUUCCGUUGUUGCUUAUUUCCCACAGCAGCAGAAUGAGAACGGUUAUUAGUUAAUAGCCAUCAGAGACAGACCAAGUGGAACACAGUCCUCGGAAAAACGCCACUCUGUAGCAUUAGUAAUUAAAACCUCACAAGGUUUGUAUUUCCUGAAGGAGGCCGUCAGUGUCAAUGCUGUACUAACGACGGUACUGUACACUUCUCAGUCCUUUAUGUGGAGCUGGGGGCAGGAAGAAUUGCUUCUGGAAGCUGAUGGAGUUGGACAUGUGGCUUUCUAGAAUCUGUGCCCAGCUUGUCAAGAAGUUGAAUCGGUGCAACCAGCGUUUGUGAAAGCAGCAUUUCCCAUUUCACAUAAAGUCAGCUUCUGGCCAACUGGACAAGUCUGAACAAAUAUGAAACCCACUAAAAGGCCAGUGACAGGUGCACACACUACUGACUCUGGCUAGAGGCUGUGGCAGGAAUUGGACUCAUGUCAUCCAGCGACAGUUCCACCAGCAUCUCUUGUGGCUUCCCAAGGACCAGCCUGAGGCAAACUCCUCAGUGGUGUGAAGACUUUCCAUGUCACUGGAAACCCACCACAGAGUUCUACCAAGUAACCAUGCCUCCACCAGUCCACAACAAACUUUUAAGGCCUCUCCAGUUAUGCCUGCAACCAUCCCACAUUAGCAACCUAAGUAGGCCACCAGUAGAGCUGGUCAAGAGAAAGGAUAGGUUCAAUUAAUUAUUUUUUAAUUAAAAAAAAAUAGAGACAGGGUCUUGUUAUGUUGCCGAGGCUGGUCUUGUACUCCUGAGCUGAAAUUAUCUUCCCGCCUCAGUCUCCCAAAGUGCUGAGAUUACAGGUGUGAGCCACCGUACUCAGCCAGAUAGAUUCAAUUUUUAAAACUUUAUUGCCAUUACUGUUCAGUAACCCCUUGAUAUGGUUGAAUAUUUGUCCCCUCCAAAACUUAUGCUGAUAUCUAAUCCCCAAUGUGACACUAUUGAGAGCUGGGGCUUUUAAGAUGUGAUUAGGUCAUGAGGGCUCCACCUUCUGAAUGGAUUAAUCCAUUCAUGGAUUAAUGAGUUCAUGGGUUAAUAGAUUAAUUUAUCUUGGGAGUGGGAUUAGUGGUUUUAUAAGAAGAGUGAGACCUCAGCUAGCAUAUUAGCACUCAGCUCCCUUGGCAUGUGAUACCACCUUGGGACUCUGCAGAGAGUUCCACCAGCAAGGCCUGUACCAGAUGCAGCCCCUUGACCUUGAACUUUUCAGCUUCCAGAACUGUAAGAAAUAGGCCAGGCAUAGUGGUUUACACCUGUCAUCCCACCACUCUGAGAGGCCAAGGCCAGUGGAUUGCUUGAGCCCAGGAGUUUGAGGCUUCAGUGAGCUAUGAUCAUGCCAUUGCACUC